GUCUUGGUCGAUUAGUGGUCAAAUCAUCUCGUUGUGGUUUGCUGUAUGUCGUUACAACCGAGAAGCCGAGGGCUCGACUCCCUCCCGAGACA
Marasmius sp. AFHP31 is the source of this 92-nucleotide non-coding RNA. Lineage: Eukaryota; Fungi; Basidiomycota; Agaricomycetes; Agaricales; Marasmiaceae. The record is from the annotation of a GenBank genome assembly.